Lagopus leucura (white-tailed ptarmigan) is the source of this 343-nucleotide long non-coding RNA. RefSeq lists it as uncharacterized. The record is from RefSeq and is a predicted model, not a curated record. NCBI's taxonomy places the organism in Eukaryota, Metazoa, Chordata, Aves, Galliformes, Phasianidae. The transcript is spliced from 2 exons.
UUUCUUGUGAUUACUUGCUGCUCUACUCUUCUGAAAAAGAAUACUGCAGUCGUAUGUUGCCUGAGCCAUGAGAUCUACAUACUGUAUCUGUCUACUUUCAAAGCACCUAUUGCUACAUAGAGAUCUUUCCAGGCUAAUCCUUCCCUAGCUUAUAGAAAGAAAUUCUGCAACACUAAUACUGCUGAAUGCAAGAACGCACAGAGCUUGACUUCUGGAAGAGGUCACUAAGGGAUGUGAUCCAAUGUGCUCCACAUCUACUGGAAAUGCAGCUGUAGUAUUAGCAUGCUUUGGAUUGGGUUAUAUCAUUGAAUCAUAUAUGGGCAAUAAAUAGAAUAACUCCUAA